Hippocampus comes (tiger tail seahorse) is the source of this 1040-nucleotide long non-coding RNA. RefSeq lists it as uncharacterized. The transcript has 3 exons. Lineage: Eukaryota; Metazoa; Chordata; Actinopteri; Syngnathiformes; Syngnathidae. The record is from RefSeq and is a predicted model, not a curated record.
GGUUGCCUUUCCAAGCUGACUUCAGGCAAAUGGCAGACUACACCCCAGGACUGGUCACCGGUCAAUCCCAUUCACAUUCGAAAUCUGGCAAGUAAAAAGAAACCAUUCAAUUUUUCUCUUCAUCUAUUGUCAAAAUCCAGAUUCAUACAUGCCCAGAUACAUCACACAAGUUUUCAGACCUUAGUGAAGGCCUGCUCUCUGCUGACGGUAAUUCUGUGUCCACUCUUGAGGCCAGUCAACAAUACAAAAUCAUUCAGGAAGAUUCCCUGCCGUUCAAGAUUGUUACAUUUGACACAAACUUUUCUUAAAGUUCAAAAGUUCUUCUAUUCAUCCAUCUCAUCACUCGUCUUUCAGGUUACGGCUGAGCAGAAGCAUUUCCCAGCUGACGUUGGGCAGACUUCAAUGAUCCUAACGUGGUGACAAUUCAGCUCCAUUGUUUUAAGGCUUCUUUAUACUCGCAUGGUCGCUGCCCGCACGGACGCCGCUACGUUUUUUCGAGAGAACACAGAGGUACUGUACUACUAAACACAAUAUGUCAAUUGCGUGAUGUCACACAGCAGUACAAAGAAGCCUUUACCUGUAUGUGCUUCAUGUUUUUCUAUUCACUUCUCCACUGUGGCGCUCUGUCAGUCACGCCCACCUUUUUAGCCACUCUGCUCACCUGGGUGCGCAGGUGCUUCAAAUCAGCAAUCAAUGUCUUUGUCGGGUUGGACUUCUGCUCUCCUACAAAACUCUUUUGUGGAUUGCAGGAAAAAGGAUGAACGCUGCACUCCUACUACACUGAAUGCAUUUCCACCGCAGCGAGUCAGAGUAGAAAACAGAGUCCGGCUUUCAAUGUAAUGUGGUGUUUUUCCACAUCCUUGAAGCACUACCAGCACCAGGAAACAAGAGAAAGCCCCCAUUGCUGCUGGCCCGGGCAGGAAAAGGUUGGCGACUGUGAGGCUGGCGGGACGAGAGGUGAAAGCAGAGAAAACACACAGACUUCUGGGUACAGCCUUUAGGACCAAGACAAAGAAGUCUUUUAACAUAAAGUUGAGUGU